RNAcentral lists this long non-coding RNA (4669 nucleotides) under Salmo salar (Atlantic salmon). RNAcentral describes it as "lncRNA (ENSSSAG00000102806.1)". Lineage: Eukaryota; Metazoa; Chordata; Actinopteri; Salmoniformes; Salmonidae. The record is from RNAcentral.
GAUCAUAUAAUGACAGGUUAUGACAAGUUGUGUCAGCUGUUAUGACAUAUUAUGUAAUGGUUAAGACCGUGUCAUAAAGUGCUAUGAUGCUGGAUGUCAAGUAAAGUGUUACCCAAAUUGUACUGGGUCUAGGGUGUCAGGUACUUACUGACUUUAUUGUCCCCAUGGGGAAAUUUUGUUGCAGUGUCAUGUACACAUUUAAAGUGGCUUUAAAUACAAAACAAACUGACAAUGCAACUUUCAUAACAGUUACAUACCAAUAAAAAGAUACUAGCCUGCUGGUCGGUAGGAACAUUAGCCUGAGCUAUUUAGGAGGGAUAUCACACCUGGCACAAAUUAUUGUCUAGUUCUGUUUUUCCUGCAGAGGGGUGCCCUAUACCUGCGCCCAGAGGUGAGUAGUUCAAAGUCCGGUUACAGGGGGUGGCUUGGGUCUAAAAUGUUUUUGCCUUGCGGUGGGCCCUGACCUUAAAGAUCUCAUCCAGGCCUGUCUGUUUGACUCCAAGUACCUUGCUUGCUGUGGUGAUAAUCCUUCUCAGCAUAUUUCUCUGGCUGACAGUGGUAUUGCCAAACCAACAAACAAUACAAAAAGUUAAAAUACUCUCAAUGAAAGAUUUGUAAAACAGAGUCAGUAUGGUACAGUCAACAUUAAAAGAUCCCAGCUUUUUGAGAAAGUACAGUCUCUGUUGACUCUUUUUGUAGAUCAGAUCUGUACAUUUACACCACUGAAACUUGUCCAAGGGGACACCCAGAUAUUUGUAUUCCCCUACAAUCUCUAUGUUCUGACCUCUGAUAGAUGUUGCAGAGGUAGGUGUUGUACGCUUUCUGAAAUCUAUGCACAUCUCUUUGGUAUUAGUGGUAUUGAAGACAAAGUGUGAUUCGUCACAACACUCUACAAAGUCAUUUAGGACCCGGCCAUGGUGUUCCUCGUUAUCAUGCAACAGGCUGAUCAAGGCAGUGUCAUCAGCAAACUUAACGAGGUGUCUGUCAGGAUGGGAACUAGUACAACUAUUAGUGUACAAGAUGUACAGGAGUGGGGACAAAACAGAUCCCUGAGGAGAGCCUGAGUUGGUGCGCAUGUCUGCCACGUGGGGACCUACUUUGACCCGCUGUGAUCGCUGGCUCAGGAUGUCCAACAACCACAAGUCCAUCUAAGGAGAAGUCCUAAAUGAGUCUCUGUGCCAGAAUGUAAGGCUGGAUUGUGUUGAAGGCAGAAGAAGGUGGAGGUGAUAUGAUCCAUAACUAACCUCUCAAAGCACUUCAUGAUGACAGAAGUGAGUCCUUGUGUUUUAAACUGUGAUUUUGUCUAUUAAGAGAGCGUGGCCAGUUUUAUGAUCGUAACACUUUAGUCUGUUAAGACCUUUCAUAUUGAUUGAAUAUUGUGUUGUUUGCUGUGUUGCACUGAAAAUAAGUUUGCUGUAAUUACACUUAAUAUUUGUUGUGUUUUGUUUACAGGCCUUUGUAGAACUGUACAAAUUCAAGUUGUAAUAAAAUCUAUAAAUGUUGUGAUAAUCCUGUGUUGCUUCCAUACCAGUAUCCAGUUGAGGUAUUUAUGACCCAGGCCUAUCCUAGAACAUGUUUGUUAUAAAUCUACCAAUAGUAGGCCUAUAUCUGCUCUUUUACUUGUAGCGUACAUUGGACUUUCAAGUGGAGUUGAUUGCCUUAAGGACAUAAGCAGGGUUUGGGUCAAUACCAAUUUAAUUUGAAAUUCCAAUUCAAUUCUUGAAUUCACUCAUAAAGUGGAGAAUUUACAUUGAAUUCAAUUUGAAUUCCAACAAUCUUCAAGUUAUGGAAUUGGAAUUGGAUUUAGACUAUUUGCACUGAUGGAACUGGAAUUAUAAAAACAUUUGAUCUUUGGAAUUGAAUUGGAUUUCAAGUCAAUAUUUGUAAAUUUCCCAGUUAAUGGAAUUAAUGCACUUAGUAUCAAACAUUUACUGAAGGAGGUGUUUUAAAUAAUGUAUAUUUCCAUUACAGUAAGACUGUCUGAACAGUGACAUAAUCAGCCUGAAAGCCUGAGGGAAUUUAAGUUGUGGAAUUGUUUUGGAUAAUAUUUAAUUGUGAAUUGAAUUAUUGAAAUGUAGUUACCUUGGAAUUGAGAGGGAUUAAAUUAUCUCUGAAUUCAAAGGCUGACCUGGAAUUUGAAUUGAAUUUCAUGGAAUUCACAGAGGGAAUUGAACUAGAAUUGAAUUAGUGGAAUUAACCCCAACCCUUGAUAUAGCUGACAUUUAGGUGUUAGUAUUUAAUCAAUUAAUGAUCAAUAACAGAUAAUCUUCAUUACAUGAAUUAAUGUGUAAUUGCAGUUUUAGCACAAAACGUGAAAAUCAGGAUGAGUCUCUGUCCUUUAAUUAAUAUGCUAUCAAAACUUGCUUCGUGACCCAUAUUUCUACAAGCAUUACCCUAAUAUAAUCAUAUGUAUCUGUUAUCCCUUUGACUCCUAGUCAACCAAACAAUUUCACUGUAAAACUUCCAGCAACUUCAACUUCAACCAGGUAGCCAGGCGGUUAAGCGCGUUGGAACAGUAAACGAAAGGUAGCUGGUGGAAAAAUCUGCAUUUCCGCGCUUGAGCAAGGCAUUAACCCCAAACAUCUGUUCCCAGGACCCCCGAUGACUUGGACGUCGAUAAAGCGUCGAGUUCGAAUUAAUACAAUGCAUCACGUCCCCUAAUUUAGAUGUCAGAUGAUGAGCUAUGCAUGUACCAUGCGAAGGGCCUCGAGCAGUCGAGAACAGCUACAACAUUUGGCAUUUCGUAGAGUGAACAAACCUCCGCUGCUACUGCUCUUGGAUGCAGCCCCGUUGAGAACCUGCGUGUUGCUUAGCAACAAUGUGACACGGUAGUUUACGCAACCAUUCAAGGCGGAAUAGAAUCUUAUGGGACAUUAUUGUAUUUUAUGUAGCUGCUAGCUAGCUAGUCAGAAAAUAAACUUUGUUGAACAUUUCGCAGGAUAUAUUGUUGACGGUAAAAGUAGCUGUGGUAGCUACAGUAGCGUCUGAGGACGUUAACAUGUAAAAAAGAAAAGAAAAAGAAAACGAGGAUAUAUCCAUUCUGGGAACAAGUAAAUUUAUAGCCAACUUAACUCUCUCCAGUCCAGGCUAAAUUAAUCACGCUUUUACCUUCCUUUAUGCCACAUGACACACACCUAGCCAGCUAAAAUGACAUUUUGCCAUUAGUUUACACAGUGGCAAGAUGUAGUAGGUACCAAAUAAGUGAUUUAAUUUCACUAACAUACUGCUACUGCCUUAAAUUGAACCACUUAGAUUUCCAUCCAGGGAAGGGGGGCCUAGUUUACUAGGUUUUAAUUAUAUUUUGCACGAAAUACCCCUCCCCACGCACACAUACCUGAACACUUGAAAAGCAGUUGAAACAGAACAGAGAUAGGUGGUAGCAUUUUUCUACUAUGGUUAUACUCAUCACACGUUGACUUGCACCCAGACAAUGAGACAGGUUGGCACAACACCACCGGUGUAAUGUACCGUAUCAAAUUACAGACCAUGACAAAAGGUCCAGGAACUCCACAAUACUUCUGAGCUAAUAUUCUGCGGUGCAUCCCAACAAGUAGAUCAUUUGAUGUGUCAAUACUCAGUUCCGAUCAGGCAGAUCUUCAAGCAGUGUGCCCCAGCAGACGUCACAGUUGUGCCCUGGUUAACACCCCCUCACUGUGUGCCAACAAAGCUGUUUGCCAUAUUCAGGAGCUGAAGAGGCAACUGGAGAACUGGUGUCAACAGUCAGGAAAUGUUCAGCAUCAGAUGUCUCAUGAAAAACAGCAAAAUAGCAAAACUUUUAGAAGCUGAUCGCCAGGAUGCAGAGGAAGCUCUACAAACAGAGAAGAAGAGGAGGUGAACUUUUGGGAGAAAAAUGAAUACUAUUUCACUGUGGAAGCAGCCGUCCAGAAAGAUUGUAGAGUUGAAAAUAUGAAUCGAGGUAGAAGGUAGAACAUUUUCACAAUUAAAGGAAGGGAUUUCAGAGCUGCAGAAAGAAGUCCAUGCAACUAGACUUGCAGGUGAAGUGGCAGUCUCUCACACCGAGGAGGUGUUCCGUAAAAGAAACAUCAGGAUACCUUGAAUCUUCAUGAGGAAAACAAAGAGUAUGAACUGGAGAUUGAGGACUACAGCAAAAAUAUCUAUGAGAGCGAAGCAGCUUCAGAGGAGCAGGAAGCACAUGCAGCAGAAGUUCAGUGUGAACGAGGACCAGAGACAGAGGCUAAGGAGGAGCUGUCCCAGAUGGCUAUGUUGCACGCCAAGGUCAACUUGGAGGAGCUGGAGCAGAAGACCUUCAUGGUGGAGCAGAGGAUGAGAUAUCUCCUCAGAAAGUGACUGAGAAUCUGAAGAAAGACGAGCGAGUUGAAAGCCCUGGCCAUUCUGAAGGAUAAAAUAACAACUAUUGAAGCAGAAUUACACCAGGAGCAAACCAACACAGAAAACGCCAGAUGGGAACUUCAUAAGGAAUUUGAGGAGGCGUUAUCAGCUACAAAACAACUGGAAAUUGAAACGGAAAAACUGAGAAAGAUUUACAAUGAUAAAUCUGAAGAAAAUGUGAAGUUUAAGGGAGCAACUCAGUGAUAUUCUAACAGAACACAACAACACUUCAGUUUGUCUGUAAAAGGAAUGGAACCUAAAACUUGCCCAUCUAAACACAGUUAAUGUACAAUAAAGCAAGGGUUUACGCACAGUCACU